Molecule: transfer RNA, 73 nt
Filed under: Cordylochernes scorpioides
Lineage: Eukaryota; Metazoa; Arthropoda; Arachnida; Pseudoscorpiones; Chernetidae
Description: tRNA-Thr
Rfam family: tRNA
About the family: Transfer RNA (tRNA) molecules are approximately 80 nucleotides in length. Their secondary structure includes four short double-helical elements and three loops (D, anti-codon, and T loops).
Source: RNAcentral
UCCAGGGUAGCCUAGUGGACAUGGCACCUGCCCGGUAAGCAGAAGGUUGUGGGUUCGAUUCCCGUCUCUGGAC